AGAAAAUUCGAAUUUUAAAAGAAAGUAAUAAAAAUUUCAAAGAGGUGAAUUUAAUGUUUGGCGCUUAAAAUCGCAAAUAAAUAUAUAUUUAAAGAGAGUUAACAGACACAUUGGAAUAGCAACCUUGAACACCCACAUUAGACAAAAACAUUUCAGCACGUGCUACAUGGCAAUAAACGCUGCAGAAAGCGCCAAGCAUACUAACCUUACAUACAUACAUACAAAUGUAUAUUUGCAUAUACGCGCGAUUGCGUACGACGCCGACCAUGUGAGUUUGCACUAAUCUUCUGUAGCAGAAUCGGCCGCCCACUCAACAGUGAUAUAAUGGUAAAGCGAAAAUGUAUAAAAAAUUUGAUAAAAACAAGUGUGAUAAGAGCAAAUACGAAUAAAGUGAACAUAUAAUGAACAAUUAAGCAAACGAAGCAAGCAAGUCACCUGCUGACAGUAGAAAAGAAAAUAUAUAUACAUAUAUAUAUUUUACAAAAGAUAAUAUAAGAGGAAAAUAACGAGUUGGACUGAGCAUCCACCAACAAACCAACAACAAAUGAAUAUUGUCAAUGGCUAUUCCCGUUUCUUCGUUUUCUUUUCGUUUUGGUACCUCCCAUUGGCUUGAUUGCAUGAAUGAACCGCUGAAAACUACCCCUGUUGCUAGCUAGCAAACGAGCAAAGCUGUGCCACAACUGAGUAACUUAAGGACUAAACAGGACUUUAUUGCAUUGCAAACAUGUACAAUCAACAGCACGGGAAGUGCCUAACAGCAUAUGCAGACAUUUGUAUGCGUUUGUUAGGCAAGACAAAGUUGGCGGCUGCGUCAGCAAAAUGCCGGGCAUGAAUGGUUGCUUAGCUUAUGGUUUUGGCGUUUGACAGUUCUUGCAGCACAACAAAUAUCGCUGGCGGCACAAUUGUUGACGCAUUUCAAAGUAAAAAAAAAGGUGAAUAAAAGUGCUUUGGCUCUCUGAAAGCACAUACAAAUGUAUAUAUACACAAAUUUUUAUAACAAAAACUAUUCUAUUCCAUAAGCAACCCUACAUAACACCAGGUGAAGUACAAUAUAUUGCGCUCUGCUGUUAUUAUUGUAGUGUUUAUAUGGUAAGCUGUCAGCAAAAAUGUGUGUACUCAGCAAAAAAAAAACGGUUUUCUCCAAAGAAAAGAGCAAAAAUUCAAAUAGCCAAACAAAAAUUCACUUAAACUUGCAUGCAAGCAAAACAAGCUUGGCUGUCCUCCAUCCAACCAUCCAUUAAUGAGCAGCAGCGCUCCACUCGAAAUGCAUUGUUGAUGAAUGAGCAUGAGAAAAGUAUGCGCUCAUUGUGAGCAUAGUAGCGCGCACAUACUGCGCUUGCUUGCUCUAUACGAAAUAUAUAAAAUAAAAAUAAACAUGAAAAAUGAGAGAGCACGGAAACGGAAGGUGUUGCAGCAGCAAUGAGAAUGACAGCAACGGCGGCAAAAUGUUAAGAAUUCCCAUAGUCAUACAUUUAUAUGCUAAACACAUGCACACCACAUAUGUGUGUGCAUAUGUCACACUUGCUUUGCUGAUGGUACAACACGACGUAUGCGUACCCUUGCCGCCUUACCGCCACGACAGCACAGCAAAGGCGGCAAAACCUCAACUAUGUUCGUAUUUUAACACGUUUCUGAUUAUAUGGCCACGAACAAACGUAUAUGGCAGAUAAUUUUUAAGUUUUUUCAAGAUCAAACUGCACUAAAAAAUAUAAAUAUUUUCAAACCCAUAAUGAAACACCAUAGAGUAACUCUGGGCAUAAAAAAAUUAUUUAUAAAGUAUAGGGUGUUGCGUUAAUCAUAGUAUUUAGUUUAUGUACGGUCGUUUCUAAUUAUGUGACCACCACUGUAUUUAUGUACAUAUGUAUGGACGAGUAUGUGCCCUUUUAGAGGUAGCUUGGAAUUUGUAUAACAGUUUUUGUAUUGUGCAUAGAACACAUUUUCGUUUCGUUGAGGAAGCACCGCUGUAUGCAUUCAUUGGCAGGUUAUACAGUCAGGUCAGUUGACAGACGGCAGCAGCGAAAUAAUCAAGCGAAUUUUCUUCUUACUGGCGCUUCAGUGUGCCAUAACAUACACUGGUACAAACCACAAAUUGUGAUUUUCAUUUCGAUCAAUCACUUAUGGAUAAAAUUUAAUAAUUUAAUAAUAUUAUUUGCGAAAGUUAAACAGUACGUCGGCGGCGACAGCGACAUCGAAAACGUUGCAAAAACGCUGAGGCUAAUCAAAUUUAAUAGAACUAUAGAAAAAAUAGCAAAAAUUAUAAAUAUUAAUUAAACGUCUUAAAAACAACAAAAAAGACAAAAAAGAAAAUUGUAUGAAUUUAAUUGAAAUUGUAAUACAGCAGUACAGUAGAGUAGCGGCGGCGGCAGCAACUUGAAUUGCGACAACGUCAGCGGUGACUGAGUCAACAGUACAGCAAAAACUUUAGCGCAAAACUAUUACAUAUGUAAAACUAACAGCAGUAGGUAACACCAGCAACAGCAACAGAGUGUGGAUGUUCUAUUGGCUCUGCCCACCAACAGCAGAGCAGAUACAUUUGGCUCUGACUGUGUACCUGCGGCGACUGCGGCGUCUGUGGGGCGACAAUGUUCUUUGUAACAAGCUCGUCGAUUUGUUGCUAUUGCCGUUGUUGCUUGUUGUCUUUAGACUUUUUUGCUUUUGGCUAAAAACAUUUAUCGAUCACGCGUCAAACGAAACGGAGCACCACUCGGUCGACAAACACACAUAUAUGUAAAUGUAUAUAAAACACGUAUUAUGGUUGUAUAAAAACGAAAAAUUAAAUAUUCAUUGUCAAACGGCGAAACGGAAAUUUUGCGGUCACUCGUUUAAGAGUAUACAAAACGUCAAAGAACGUGGGGGGAAAAUCGAAAUGAAAAUUCUAAUAUAAAGCAAAAUACCACAAAAACAAAACGUCAUAAACGCAACAUAUAAUAAGCAAGCAAAAUAAAAGCUAUUAUCGUUAGUAGAGUGAGCCGCAGCAAAAAUAGAAAGAAUUACAAAUUUACGCAAUUUCCACAUUUUGGGAAUAAUAAAUAAUAAACUAAGGUAGCACGCCUGCAAAUCAAAACACGUCCACAAAUCCUCACUGAAAUGAGAAAACACACCGCUACAAAAACAACAGAGCAUAACGUCAUUGAAACGCAUUUAAAAGUGAUUUUUCUUUUUAACAACUGAAUCCGAAUACAAUUCACAAAAUAAACCAAACGCAAGUCAAUUGAAAAAUUCUUCGAAGAAAAUACACCAGCACUGUGGGCGGUAGAGAGAAAACCGUCGACAAAAACGUGGAAAAUAUACUAGACAAAACACGUUGAGCACACAAAAGUCAAGGGUAAAAUGUUAGCACUUUUUUAAAUUUUUUCGAUUUAUUGGUAAAGAAAAUUUUAUUGGAAACAGGAAAAAGCAGAAAUUGCAUUAAAACGCAAAUAAAAGGGGGGAAAUGAGAAAAUAAAGUAGCUGAAACAAAAAAAAAAAACACAAAAAUACGCCCCAUAAAGUGUUUCAAGUAUUUCAAUGGCAACAACAAAAUCGAAAAUACUAUAAACACACGAUAUUAUAGCGAGCGCUAAGUUAAGCAGCAGUAAGCAAGCAAGCAGCUCAGCGUUUUAGAUAUACGAAAAAAAAACAACAAAAAAAACAACAAAAAAAACAAAAACAACAACAAAAAACAAAAGCAUAGUCAUAGAUAUUUGUAAAAAUAAAUGCUAAAAAAAAUUACAUAUAAUCAAGUAUAAAUACAACGUAAAGCAAAAUAAUAGCAAUUGACAGCUGACGGUGCUGCGGAAAAUAACAAGAAAAUAAGAUAAAAAUAAAAUGAAAAUAACAAGAAAAUCACAUAACAAAAAAUGCGCUGAAAAACGUGAAAAGCUGUAAAGAGUAACAAAGAAAAUUCUCUUUGCGCACAUACAUAUAAACAAGAUAGCUGAGAAAAUGGAAAAUAUAUAUAUAUGUAAACAUACAUAUAUUUAAAAUAACAGCAAUAUUUAAUAAUAAAAAUUACUACGCAGCUAAAGUGCAUUGGUUUACAUAUGCGAAUACAUACAUUAUAUAUGUAUGUAGAUAUGUUGUUUAUAACAACAGACAAUUGUAAAAUUCAACACAAAA
Long non-coding RNA from Ceratitis capitata (Mediterranean fruit fly), 4098 nucleotides. RefSeq lists it as uncharacterized. The record is from RefSeq and is a predicted model, not a curated record. The transcript is spliced from 2 exons. Lineage: Eukaryota; Metazoa; Arthropoda; Insecta; Diptera; Tephritidae.